UGAGAAGAGGAACGAUUAAUGGGUAACGAUGACUCUAACUUCGAUUUCUCUGGGAAACAACAUCUCUGAGUUCCGGUUGCUCUGAGUUUGAUUACAAAGGAAUGAUUUCUAUCUAAGUUCGAUUCCUUUGGGUUUGAAGCUAGAAGACGAUUGAUUUCGAUUCUAGGGUUUGAGUUCAAUUUUUGCUGGGAAUGGUUUGAAGAAGGUCGAUAUGGAUUGAUUUUAUUUUUAC
RNAcentral lists this long non-coding RNA (232 nucleotides) under Trifolium pratense (red clover). RNAcentral describes it as "long non-coding RNA (TPRA_LNC013423)". The record is from RNAcentral. Lineage: Eukaryota; Viridiplantae; Streptophyta; Magnoliopsida; Fabales; Fabaceae.